CAUUCACGGAGAGUUUGAUCCUGGCUCAGGACGAACGCUGGCGGCGUGCUUAACACAUGCAAGUCGAACGAUGAACCACUUUCGGGUGGGGAUUAGUGGCGAACGGGUGAGUAACACGUGGGCAAUCUGCCCUUCACUCUGGGACAAGCCCUGGAAACGGGGUCUAAUACCGGAUACUGACCUGCCAAGGCAUCUUGGCGGGUCGAAAGCUCCGGCGGUGAAGGAUGAGCCCGCGGCCUAUCAGCUUGUUGGUGAGGUAAUGGCUCACCAAGGCGACGACGGGUAGCCGGCCUGAGAGGGCGACCGGCCACACUGGGACUGAGACACGGCCCAGACUCCUACGGGAGGCAGCAGUGGGGAAUAUUG
This 366-nucleotide ribosomal RNA is filed under the name Streptomyces coelicoflavus. RNAcentral describes it as "bacterial SSU rRNA". It matches the Rfam family "Bacterial small subunit ribosomal RNA", at positions 1 to 366 of the family's 1533-position model. Lineage: Bacteria; Bacillati; Actinomycetota; Actinomycetes; Kitasatosporales; Streptomycetaceae. The record is from RNAcentral.